ACCACUAGUGUCGUACAAGGAAGAGAGAGAGAGACCCGUUAACAGGCAUCCCAACCGAUUCAGAAUCACUUUAUGAUGCGAUUCCGAUAUGUCCAACUGUCUGUCCACCUUUCCUAAAGUCAAAGCCUAUUGAAAUUGGAAGAAAUCGGUUCAGAAAGUUAAAAAAAAACACAUAAAAUUCAAAAAAAUGCAUGAAAUAUUUCGAUAGUGCUGUCCAUAUAAUUUAAUGUUUGAAUAUUACUUCAUGCAAAUGUAAACCUGACUGCGCCUCAAAUGGUCCAACGGCUUAGUCCACGAUAUAGACGGCCAAUUGGCUGGUCCCGAACUCGCCUCUAAAUAAAUCCAUUGUUACGCGUGUUGUGCUGUAUGUGACACCGUCUUGCUGAAACUACAUGUCAUGCAAGUCAAGCUCUUGCAUUUUGAGCAAAAAAAGUUGGACAUCAUAUCACAGUAGCGAUCACCAUUCACAGAAGUAUGGUCCAAUGAUUCCACCAGCCCAUAAACCCCACCAAACUGUGACUUUUUCUGGAUGCAUUGCAACGCUUCUGGCUAAUCUUCGCUCCAAAAUCGACAAUUCUGCUUAUUAACGUACCCAUUGAGCCAAAAAUGAGAAGCGCGCGAUGUACUUUCUUAACAGAGCACGCAUUUUGAUAAUAAAAUUCGAUGAUUUGCAAGCGUUGUUCGUUUGUAAGACGAUUCAUGGAUAAAUUAUGGACCAAACUGAAGAUGUUUGGCAGUGAAAAAAAAAACACAAAACGUGCGUGGGCUGAUUAUAUCAGAAUAAUAAUAGCUAAAAAAUCACCCUGUAUAUGUUCAUAAAAUUUUUGGUAAUUUGCAAUAAUGUUGUAAUUUUUCAAACGUAGUUAUUACAGUUUGAACAUAUUUGCUUGAAAUUUGGUAGGAAUUGUUUAAUAACUCAUCCGAAAACAUCCGACGAGGACCAUCAAAAUUGGUUCACAAUUUGAUAUUGCUCCCACUUUGUACUUGUAGGGUAGGUGUAUUAGAUAAUGUGAGAAAUCGAAUCGAAUACAGCUAAUAGCUGAAAUCGUCAUUUAAGAUAUUUCAUGUGGUAAAUUUAAACUUUGGUUAAAAAAUAUCAUUAAACGGCCAAGGAUUUUAUAAAGGCGAUUUUGCGGUACAAAUUAAAGUCAAACGGUUGAGUGGAAUUUAAUGAAAUUGGCAUCAAUCAAUAUUUGUCCAAAGAAGUUGCGAAUAUAUUUAAA
Stomoxys calcitrans (stable fly) is the source of this 1223-nucleotide long non-coding RNA. RefSeq lists it as uncharacterized. The record is from RefSeq and is a predicted model, not a curated record. The transcript is spliced from 3 exons. NCBI's taxonomy places the organism in Eukaryota, Metazoa, Arthropoda, Insecta, Diptera, Muscidae.